GACGUGACACCCCUGUUUGGCAUUACAUCUGUGGCUAAAUUUAGAAUAUGACAAACGAAACAAAUUAUGCGCCGCUUACUUACAUAAAUGUAAGCUUAGCACCCUGCAAAGCUUAAAACGCAUAGGCAAUCAUCGAGAGAACGCUUUUGCUGUGUGAUACCAAAGAAUUCAGUGAAGCAAUUAAUAGAGUGCUACGAAUUUCUUCAGGAAAGAACCAAACAGUUCUACCAGAAGAAAAGAUCAAGUUCUCUGAUUUAACCUGCUCCGGCCCAAGAAGCUCUACGUAUCUUACGUAUUCAGCUGCUGAAAACUGCCAGUAAAAAAGAUCUAAAGAUGGCUGAUCUGCUGCAAACAAUAGCUCAGUUUGCGAACGAUCAUUGGGUUUCACUUUUGGUCGGAUUUCUGAUUCUCCUACUAUACCGGUAUUGUGUUGCACCGUUAUCUGUGUUCAAGAAACUUGGCAUCUCUGGGCCACCGCCGCUGCCACUGUUUGGAAAUACAGGAAGGUCCCUAUUUGAUGUAAGUUGCUCUUUAUUUGUCCAGUUUAUUGUGCGAUAGCCAGCAACACCCUUUAAUGGUCUCAUCCAUAAUA
Molecule: long non-coding RNA, 592 nt
Organism: Orbicella faveolata
Lineage: Eukaryota; Metazoa; Cnidaria; Anthozoa; Scleractinia; Merulinidae
Source: RefSeq, a predicted model, not a curated record